GACGAACGCUGGCGGCGUGCUUAACACAUGCAAGUCGAACGGAAAGGCCCUGCUUUUGUGGGGUGCUCGAGUGGCGAACGGGUGAGUAACACGUGAGUAACCUGCCCUUGACUUUGGGAUAACUUCAGGAAACUGGGGCUAAUACCGGAUAGGAGCUCCUGCUGCAUGGUGGGGGUUGGAAAGUUUCGGCGGUUGGGGAUGGACUCGCGGCUUAUCAGCUUGUUGGUGGGGUAGUGGCUUACCAAGGCUUUGACGGGUAGCCGGCCUGAGAGGGUGACCGGCCACAUUGGGACUGAGAUACGGCCCAGACUCCUACGGGAGGCAGCAGUGGGGAAUAUUGCACAAUGGGCGGAAGCCUGAUGCAGCAACGCCGCGUGCGGGAUGACGGCCUUCGGGUUGUAAACCGCUUUCGCCUGUGACGAAGCGUGAGUGACGGUAAUGGGUAAAGAAGCACCGGCUAACUACGUGCCAGCAGCCGCGGUGAUACGUAGGGUGCGAGCGUUGUCCGGAUUUAUUGGGCGUAAAGGGCUCGUAGGUGGUUGAUCGCGUCGGAAGUGUAAUCUUGGGGCUUAACCCUGAGCGUGCUUUCGAUACGGGUUGACUUGAGGAAGGUAGGGGAGAAUGGAAUUCCUGGUGGAGCGGUGGAAUGCGCAGAUAUCAGGAGGAACACCAGUGGCAAAGGCGGUUCUCUGGGCCUUUCCUGACGCUGAGGAGCGAAAGCGUGGGGAGCGAACAGGCUUAGAUACCCUGGUAGUCCACGCUGUAAACGGUGGGUACUAGGUGUGGGGUCCAUUCCACGGGUUCCGUGCCGUAGCUAAUGCUUUAAGUACCCCGCCUGGGGAGUACGGCCGCAAGGCUAAAACUCAAAGGAAUUGACGGGGCCCCGCACAAGCGGCGGAGCAUGCGGAUUAAUUCGAUGCAACGCGUAGAACCUUACCUGGGUUUGACAUGGAUCGGGAGUGCUCAGAGAUGGGUGUGCCUCUUUUGGGGUCGGUUCACAGGUGGUGCAUGGCUGUCGUCAGCUCGUGUCGUGAGAUGUUGGGUUAAGUCCCGCAACGAGCGCAACCCUUGUUCACUGUUGCCAGCACGUUAUGGUGGGGACUCAGUGGAGACCGCCGGGGUCAACUCGGAGGAAGGUGGGGAUGACGUCAAGUCAUCAUGCCCCUUAUGUCCAGGGCUUCACGCAUGCUACAAUGGCUGGUACAGAGAGUGGCGAGCCUGUGAGGGUGAGCGAAUCUCGGAAAGCCGGUCUCAGUUCGGAUUGGGGUCUGCAACUCGACCUCAUGAAGUCGGAGUCGCUAGUAAUCGCAGAUCAGCAACGCUGCGGUGAAUACGUUCCCGGGGCC
RNAcentral lists this ribosomal RNA (1346 nucleotides) under uncultured bacterium. Its description in RNAcentral is "partial 16S ribosomal RNA". It matches the Rfam family "Bacterial small subunit ribosomal RNA", at positions 28 to 1381 of the family's 1533-position model. The record is from RNAcentral.